GGUCGGAAAAGGGCAAUCACUCAUUCUUAAAACCAGUAUUCUUAAGUUAAGAUGCGUCGGGCGGAAAAAGCACUUUCCCAUCUUCUUGACCCGAAAUAAAAUGGCUAAGGAGACGAAGCUUUUCUUCUGCAUCAUGGUUAGGUGCUCCACCGCGGCUCAGAUCUCCCGAUCAUCACAUCAACUCUUGCCGAUUAAUCUCAAUGGGUUUAACCACAUACUAUUAGUAUUAACUUUUUUAAUGCAUUACUUUUACAAUAUAUCUAGACAUAAUGUAUAUGUAAAUGUAUAGUAAAAAUUAUAUAUCUAGAAAAGCCAAAGCAUAUCUAGACAUAAUAGUUAGUUGAGAGAAUCCACUUAGUCACGUUUUGACCCCAAUCUAUUUUUUUUAUAAAUUUUAGGAGAAAUCCCAAUCUAUUUUUGUUGUAAUUUUUUAUUUUAGACCUAUUUUAUUCGUUCCAACAGAGAGUUGAACCCAGACUUGCUGGAUGCUACUUAGGUGCUCCAACCAUUACGCUAGAGGCCCUUUUACAACCUAGUUAGUCACUUGCUUAUGAAGCAAUGGAGAGAUUUGCUCGCAUCAAGCCCGCCCAAACCUGGUACCUUUGCCAUCUCCAGGAUCGGAAGUCAACGGUGAUUCCACACUAGUGAUGAUAUAUCAUACUCUCUCUCUCUCUCCUGAAUAUAAGACAUGCAAGUAUUUCAAAACUAACAAUUGUAUUUUAAUUGUUAUUCAAAAGUAACAAUUGUAUUUCAAAACCACUUUAUUAUCUUUAAUUUAACUAACAAUUAGCCUAAUCAUCUCAAAAAAUUGUAUUGCAAAAGUAGUUAAAUUAGAUUUGUAUUUAAAUUAUUUUUUAAUGAUCAAAUUUUUGUUCUUAUAAAUUAUAUAUUAUGAGAAGUUAUUGUUUACUUUUUUUUAAGAUCACACCAAAUCAAAUUGCAUCUUAUAUUUGGGGACAGAGGAAGUAAGAGAGUGUUUAGUUGGGGGUGUUAAAAUUUAACAGGCUGUAGCUCUUUCGUUUUAUUUGGC
RNAcentral lists this long non-coding RNA (1030 nucleotides) under Sorghum bicolor (sorghum). RNAcentral's name for it is "long non-coding RNA (SBIC_LNC004133)". The record is from RNAcentral. Lineage: Eukaryota; Viridiplantae; Streptophyta; Magnoliopsida; Poales; Poaceae.